RNAcentral lists this long non-coding RNA (395 nucleotides) under Micromonas pusilla. RNAcentral describes it as "long non-coding RNA (MPUS_LNC000026)". The record is from RNAcentral. Lineage: Eukaryota; Viridiplantae; Chlorophyta; Mamiellophyceae; Mamiellales; Mamiellaceae.
CGUGCUGCCGAGGCCGACGAUGAGCGUCUUGGGCGCGAUCUCGUAGCAAAACUGCGGCGUCUCCUUCCCCAUGUGUUCCAAGUACGCCGCGAGGUUAGCCUUGUCCGUGGAGAACUCGUCGAUCCCCUCGAGGUCGUGGUUCCCCCCCACGAUGUCGUACUUGUGCCCGAACCCGUCGAGGUACGCGCGCACAGUCUUGAAGCACUCCGUCGUCCCCGCGUAGAGCUGCUUGGACUCGGUGCAAUCUUUGGGCCAUUCCACACGAGCGAACGUCGGGGUGGAGUUCAAAGGCGUCAGAAGCGGAGUUGAAAGGCAACGCGGGCGGGUAUUGAAAGCGAGGUGUGGGCGGAGAGAGACGCCGGCAAAAGUCCUUAAGGAUCGGCGUUCACCACGCC